Molecule: long non-coding RNA, 1625 nt
Filed under: Marmota monax (woodchuck)
Lineage: Eukaryota; Metazoa; Chordata; Mammalia; Rodentia; Sciuridae
Source: RNAcentral
CUGUUUUCUAGUUGCUGGCACUGUAACAAAUUGCCACAAUCUAGUGGUUAAAAUGGUAUGCAUUUAUUAUCCUGUGGUUCCGGGAUCAGAAGUCUGAAACGUGUCUUAGGAGGCAGUGUCUUAGCUGUCUGCAGGUUCCUUCUGAAGUCUCUAGAGAAAUUCCAUUCUGUCUGCCUUAGCACAGGCUCUCUUCAGCUGCCCAUCACUCCGGCCUCCCCUCUGGCUCCUCUUCCUUGCACAAAGCCUUGUGGUGACCUUAGGCCUACCCUUAUCUCCAGGUCCUUAAUGCCCUCUGCAGAAUCCACUUUGCCAUGUGAGCCAGUGUUACAGGCUCUGGGCAUUUGUAUGGCAUUCAUAUGGUAAGUCUGGGGGCCAGUCUGUCUGGCACAGCUGGCACAUGGGCUCCUGGGAGCAGUGCCACCACUGUAUGAUGGUUCCUGCUUCAUGCUUGGCUUCUCUCCCAACACACACACUUUUUUUCCCCUCUCUUUCCCCCUAUGCUGAGGGUGGAACCCAGGACCUCAGGCUUGCUAGCAAGCACUCUUAUCAUUGAGCUACAUCCCAUCCCUUUUUUUGAGAUGAGUUUUGCUUAGUUGCCAAAGCUUGCCUUGGACUUUUGAUGUUCCUGCCUCAGCCCCCCAAGCAGCUGGUAUUACAGGCCUGGCCACCGUGCCCAUGCUUGGUUCCGUGUUGUCCUUGCCUUUUACCUGAUCUCAUCUCAGCAGUCCUAGAUCCCAACCCUUCACCCCAGUUCAGUCCAGGAAGACCCUCACAGACUACUGCACUGGAAUCAGGCACACUGAGCUCCAGCAUCCAGAGGGUCAGACCCGGCUGGUGGCUCUGGGGCUGCAGGAAGUCUUCCCGCCUGCCUGACUGGCCAUCCCUGGAGCCAGCCCAGGCUGUGUGGAGACAGAGUGAGACCAUUCCCACAUCCUGUGCUAACUUGUGCCUCUUCCAGAGGGACCUUUUCCUUUUCCUCAGGCCUGUUGUAUAUGGUGGGUGAGGCCCCAGGCUCCCAGGCCCUGCCACUCACAGACUGGAAUGGGCACCAGUCCCCAGGGCAUAGCCCCAUUCCUUGCCCUGGAAACAGCCUUGGCACUCUAGCUAGCUUCCACUCUCAGGUGGGUCUCCUGAGCCUCACUUUGAUUGCCAUCCCUGCCCAAAUUCUGCUCUGUGUCACUCAGCUCCCACAGGGGGGACACUCACUGUCUUCCCAAGAGCUAUGAUAGGACCCAGGGGCCCGCGUGCUGUGCAAUGGGCAGAGGCCUGAAUCCUGCCUCCUGCUGAAAGGAUUAGGUUCUGCUGUGGAGCAGAUCCUGAGAAAGGCCCUCCCAUCCUUCUGGAGGAUCCCAUCCCAUUUGCAAGAACCAUUAGGCUAGGACUCGUGCACCCCCUGACCUGUUAUGUAGUUCCCUGCCCCCUUGGCCUAAGGACCGCAACAUCUGGAGGUAGUCUAGAAGCUAGGUAGGCCCUAUGGGGGGAGCCUGCCCUAUGGUUAAGUGGAACCUUCACAGGUCAGCUCUGGCUGACAUGGUGCAUACCUGUAGUCCCAGCAACUUGGGAGGCUGAGGCAGAAGGAUCGAGGCCAGGCAGGGCUACUUAAUGAGGCCUCAAAAAUAAAAUGA